UAGGGAAUUUUGCGCAAUGGGCGAAAGCCUGACGCAGCAAUACCGUGUGCGGGAAGACGCUCUGUGGAGUGUAAACCGCUGUCAGAUGGGAAGAAUCAAUGACUGUACCAUCAAAGGAAGGACCGGCUAACUCUGUGCCAGCAGCCGCGGUAAUACAGAGGGUCCAAGCGUUAUCCGGAUUUAUUGGGCGUAAAGCGUCUGUAGGUUGUUAACUAAGUCUGAAGUGAAAGAAUGGAGCUCAACUCCAUACACGCUUUGGAAACUGGUUGACUAGAGAAUGUUAGAGGUAAGUGGAAUUUCUAGUGUAGCGGUGAAAUGCGUAGAUAUUAGAAAGAACACCAGAGGCGAAGGCGACUUACUGGGACAUUUCUGACACUGAGAGACGAAAGCAUGGGGAGCG
Molecule: ribosomal RNA, 400 nt
Filed under: uncultured bacterium
Lineage: Bacteria
Description: bacterial SSU rRNA
Rfam family: Bacterial small subunit ribosomal RNA
Source: RNAcentral